UUUUAAAACUGAACUCUAAUAAUCUCUCUCCUCUCCUCCCAAUUUUCGACAGAAAAAGAAAAAGGCAGCGGCUUGCCGCCGAGCCGUCGCCGGCCGUGAGCAGCCCCCGGCUGUUCUCACCCACUUCUAUUCCGGCGAGUAGCAGCGAAAGCCGCCGCCGAUCCCUGUGUUCACGGCUCAGCAGCCUCACAAUCUCAGCCCUCUCCUCGCCGAUCGACUGCAACG
This 225-nucleotide long non-coding RNA is filed under the name Salvia miltiorrhiza (redroot sage). Its description in RNAcentral is "long non-coding RNA (SMIL_LNC003778)". The record is from RNAcentral. Lineage: Eukaryota; Viridiplantae; Streptophyta; Magnoliopsida; Lamiales; Lamiaceae.